GUCGGGUGUGGUGGCACAUGCCUGUAAUCCUAGUGGCUUGGGAGGCUGAGGCAAGAGGAUCUCAUCAAAGCCAGCCUUAGCAACAGUAAGGCACUAAAGCAACUCAGUGAGACCCUGUCUCUA
This 123-nucleotide small RNA is filed under the name Marmota monax (woodchuck). The record is from RNAcentral. Lineage: Eukaryota; Metazoa; Chordata; Mammalia; Rodentia; Sciuridae.